UUCAAUUGGAUAACCUCUUGGACCUAUAUAAGUAUGUACAUAGUUUGUUAGAUAGAACACUUUUUUUAUGAAGCAAUUAAAUUUCAUUAAAAAAUAAGACUAUUGUCCAGUUUACAAAAAUAGAGUAUAUAUAGAAAUAAAACAUAAGUAAAAAGAAAUGAGCAAGAAGCUCAUUGACUCUCUCUCAUUAGCUAUGUAAUCUAAUUUUAUAGUAACUAGAUAUGCUCCUCAGGAGGUUGGUCUCUCAUACUUCCAUCAUAAAUGUCUCCAAAGGGUGACAACAACUCUUCUAAGGAGAGACUGAUAUCUUUAAUGACCUCCUUAAUGACUACCUCAGGAAGCCUACUAAUGUGUUGUCUAUAUCUUUUAGUUUUUCCGUUCAUAUAUGCCACGACAAACACUCAAUAGUAUUCCAUAGUAGCCCCCAAGGGGAAGAGUGGUGUGUAAUCUUUAUUUAUAACCAAUAUGUAGCUUUAAUCAUAUUUUGAAAUAGUAGCUAGUCGUUAUAAAAUUCUCUUCAAACUAAUCGAAAUUAAAUAUAUAUUAAGACAUACAUCUGUAUAUUUUCCACGACUUAAAUGUAUAACUAUAGAAUUAGGGAUAGAAAAAUGAAUUUUAUAAAUGUCACUUACAUUUAAUUACCGACAAUUGUCUUGCUUCUUCUUUCGCCCCAAUGACAAACUCGAGAUUCACAAAAACGAGCAAAGCUAAGAGAAAGGAUACAAGAAAAGCUCUACCCAAAAAAGCCAUUGUAGAUAAUUUUACCUCGAUUCCUAAUUUGAUGGCGACUACAAGUGCGCAUUAUAUAUACAUAUUUAUAGAGAAAUUUUAAAAGAUGGCAUGCGUUAUAUGUUUAUCGAUGUCGGCAUGGACAUGGCACUGCAUAGUUAUUGAAAGAAAGAAAGAAAAAAAUAAAAGAUCUAUAUAUUAAUUAUGUAGCAAGGAGUAAAUAAUGAAUAGGAGUACUUCAUGCAUUCUAUAAAAGUAAUUUAAAAUGGCAUUGAAUAUUGUCAAACCCUAAUUCACUACUAAUUAGACUUUAACUUAUUUUAUAUAUAUCCUAAUUGUUAUAUUUAGAAGAAAUUAUCAAACUCUAAUAUUAUUGAAGUGGAUAAUUAAAUCUCUAUUCAUCUUAAUAAAUAUGAAGUAAUAAGAUACUUCGAGUUCGUUAAUAGAGUUAGAAGUAACAUUUGCAUAAAUUCACAUCACUACAAGAAAAUAAGGAAACAGCCACGGCCAACAUCAGUCAACAGCCAGGGGAGUGGCUGUGGCCGUAGAUCUGGUGGCUACUGAUUUUUAGCUACGGAUCGGAAUUGAUUUUGUAAUUAAUUAUCUUAUUAGUACACCUUUGAUUAUUCAUAUGGUAUCAGUUGUGCAAGCAAUCAAUUGAGUUUAACAAUUGAAAACUCUGAGAGGAAUUGCAACUGUGAUUAGUGGGUUCAUAGCUAUAUUUUUCCAAAAUCAGAUGAGCUUGUAUGAACUAACUGAUAUAGUCGAUCUGGAAUGAGAAAUUCCAACGAAAAGGACGAUAGAUUCGAAGGCACUCCAAAUCCAUAGUAUAAGAGAUGGAAAAAAUGAAAUUGGAUUAUAAUAUCAUGAAUCAAGUCAUCUGUAGCAUGUCCAAUUUUUCCCUUGGUGAUCUAUGAGACUUCAACGGCGAGAGUGUGGAAGAAUCUGGAAAAGAAACUGUCGUAUGGAGGUAUACGAGAAAUUGAUUAGGGAUAGAUUGAGGAAUUUUAAGAAAAUUGAAAAAUCGAAUAUGUUCGACUUCGAAUAUGAUCCUUAUCGGAUAAUUUAAUUUGUAAAAAGAGUGGGUGGUGAUACAGUAUCAAGUACACAUAUCACAUUACGUCGGAGGGAGGAGUACUGGUGAUACAAUAUCCCAAACUUGAUCAUCUCACCAGUACCCAGAAAUUCGGAUACGAACCUAAGGAGAAUAGAACGACCUGUAUAGGUUUUGGAAAGGCUCUAGGCCAACUUAUAGACAUGUCGAAUUUUUCAGGACGACUUCCUCAAAUCGAUUUCAGAAAGCCAAUUUGGGAAAGUUGAUCCCAUAAAGUCGAACUGGAGUCAGAUCUGGAUAGUUCAAGUCUUAAUGACCAGAUUACCCCAUAAGAAAUCUUAUAAAUAAAGGGUCAUUUCCAACCAUUAGGGGAGGUUGGAUUCUAGAGAGAAAUUAAGUUCUAGGAGAGUACUUGAAGAGUCCGAGCUGAUUUCCGCGUGGAGUUUUCGGCUUGAAAACGUCACCGAGCACUGACCGAGUUCUACCCUCAUCAGUGGGCAUACACAGCUCGUUUGUGUCCAGAUCGUGAAAACUUUGCAUAUAUUGCAGACACAUUAAUUGGUUGAUUCAUCCUCUCAAGUGGCGAUGGAGGAUAUAGUUGAUGAAGGUUGGUGCCUAGAUUCAGGGGUGUCUCAUCACAUGACACCCUCUCUGGAUAAAUUAUACAAUGCUUAGCCUCUGGUUAUAAUCCUAUUAGUGAAAUCCCUUGCUAGAACCGAGUAGAAAUAAAAAUGAAAUUUCACAACAAUUCCUGUUUGAAUAUUAUAUUUAUAAAAAAGAGAGAUUCUAAAUCGAAUGGACCUGAUUUACUGAACAACGUCUUCGAUCAAUGUGAUCGGAAAACGAUCAGUAAUCGAGACGGAUGCCUGUUGAGAAACAAUGCCUCGACAGAAGUUUCGGAAUGCAGAAUAGACCGAUGUUAAAUUUAACCACGAAUCCAAAUCCCGGAAUCGACGACGUACUCAGUGCUCGCUGGAUCGUCUUUCUCUAAGGAAUCGCAAAUCAAUUUUCACGCUCGACAGACUCUCUGUCGGAGGGAACCCAAACAAAACACUUUAUUUGAAUAAUUUGGGGAAAUUACAAAUAGUGCCCUUUUAUAAGGAGUUACAAUCAGCACGAGUAAAGAAAAGUAAUUGUUUAAAAGUAAAACAAUUUAAACUAAUCGGGUAAUUAUAUACUUACCCGAUUUACAAUUAAGGUAAAACAUUUAAAACUAAUUACUAUUACUAAUCAUAUAAAACGUAGUCAUUGUAUUUUACUUCCUGUUCUUCCGAAUUGGUCACCUUUGAUCUUCCUCCUCUGUUGCAGUUGCUGGUGCUACUGUUAAUUCCUUCUCGAUUGCCUUUGCUGGUCCCUCUGAUUCUUCAUCUUCGAUUCCCUGGUCUUCUUCCUCAGAUUGGUAUGCAAUAUUCUCUGAAUCAAUGUUAUCCUCCAUUGUAGUAUUUAUUUCUAAACUGCUAAUUUGAUCAGUGAUAUCUUUGGUAACUAGUUCAGCAGGCAAUAUCAUACUAUCACAUGCUUCCACUGCGGACGUCCACAGUGGAAGCUCGCUGCAGUUGCCGAAUGGAGGUCCGGAACUGCAGUUCGGGAAUCGCAGUUUCGGAAGAUGCAGGUCGGAAAUCGCAGUUCCGUAAGAUGCAGUUCACGAAUCGCAGUCGCUCGCGAUUCCGUCGUUUCUUGGCUUGAUUUCGCAAAAUCAGUCAUAAAUACGACAUGAAUGUGAUCGCCCACUGCAACCAACUUCAGCUGCGAACGUCCGCAGGUGAAGCUGGCUAUAUAUCAUAAUAAUAAAAUAGACAUUCUUAAAUCUUAUUUUGCUAUUUUACACAUCAAGUUUUCAUUUUCAUUCAACUCAUCUUUAUUCAAUACAUAUAUAUAUAUAAAAGUAGAUGAAAGUUACAACAUGGAUAGGAAACAUAAACAUCUUAUUUCAGAUAACACUCUUCAUAAUAGCAUUCGCAGAAUUCCACAUCAUUAUAAGUACUUUCAUAACAAUCAUUAUAGCAGUUUCCUUCAAUUGGAUAACCUCUUGGACCUAUAUAUAUAAGUAGCUCGUUAGAUAGAACACUUUUCUUACCAUUUACCAAUAUGUAGUUCUAAUCAUAUUUCCAUAUAGUAAAUAGUCGGUAAAAAAAAUAGCUUCAAAAUAAUCUCUGUAUUUCUCCCACCAAAAUUUUGUACUGCUUAAAUGUAUAGCUAUAGAAUUAGUGAUUGAAAAUUGAAAUUUAUAACUAUCACUUAC
This 4025-nucleotide long non-coding RNA is filed under the name Zostera marina. Its description in RNAcentral is "long non-coding RNA (ZMAR_LNC005243)". The record is from RNAcentral. Lineage: Eukaryota; Viridiplantae; Streptophyta; Magnoliopsida; Alismatales; Zosteraceae.